This 148-nucleotide non-coding RNA is filed under the name Nomascus leucogenys (northern white-cheeked gibbon). The record is from Rfam by way of RNAcentral. Lineage: Eukaryota; Metazoa; Chordata; Mammalia; Primates; Hylobatidae.
GCUAGGCGUGGUGGUGGGCGCCUGUAAUCCCAGCUACUCAGGAGGCUGAGGCAGGAGAAUCGUUUGAACCUGGGAGGUGGAGGUUGCAGUGAGCCAAGAUCACACCACUGCACUCCAGCCUGGGUGACAGAGCGAGACCCUGUCUCAU